CCAGGAUUAGAUACCCUAUUAUAAUUAAAGUGAAAUGUGUACCAGAGUAUUAAUAGUUAUUUUCUUUAAAUUCAAAGAAUUUGGCGGUAUUUUAGUCCUCUUAGAGGAACCUGUUUCGUAAACGAUAAACCACGAAAAUCUUACCUGUUUUGUGUUUGUAUACCGUCAUUAUCAGAUAACCUUAGAAAGAGUUAGUUGUUGAAAUGAAUAAAAAUUAAGAAAAUUAGAUCAAGGUGCAGCUAUAAAUAGGAGAAAAUGGGUUACAAUAAAAAUAAUUUAUACGGAGUUGUUUCUGAAGGGAAACUAAGAAGGCGGAUUUAAUUGUAAUUUUGUUUAAUUUAAGCAAUUUGAUAUAGGCUCUAAAAUAUGUACAUAUCGCCCGUCGC
Molecule: ribosomal RNA, 386 nt
Filed under: Phimochirus sp. ULLZ 9677
Lineage: Eukaryota; Metazoa; Arthropoda; Malacostraca; Decapoda; Paguridae
Description: partial small subunit ribosomal RNA
Source: RNAcentral